Panthera uncia (snow leopard) is the source of this 1709-nucleotide long non-coding RNA. RefSeq lists it as uncharacterized. The transcript has 2 exons. The record is from RefSeq and is a predicted model, not a curated record. Lineage: Eukaryota; Metazoa; Chordata; Mammalia; Carnivora; Felidae.
UUAAAUGUACAGGGUGUGACAGCAGGGAAAGGGCUCCUUAAAAAAGAUCUGCAAGAAGCCAAAAGGAGAAUGAAUGAAUGAAUCCUACAGGUAAAAAGACAGUACAAAGAAAAAAGCCCUAUCAAUUACCCCAAGGCCAAAGUGAGAAAGAAAAUGAGUCUGAUGCAUUGUAGAUCGCAUGGGAAGGACACACUCAGCCAUCACUAUGAUUACUAGUAUCAAAGGAAUGAAUGGUGAGUAUCACAAGCAGCAGUAAAAAUGUUUGGGUUGAUUCAUGUUUUGAAGUGAUCUUCAGGAGGGGUAAAUGGGUGGUAAAACCCAUUUUAAGGAACAUGUUCUUUUGUGAAACUACCCCAGCUUUUGUAGAACCUCUCUUCACGUGAGCCAAAUUAAAAAUAUAAAGCAACCAAAAUAAGGAAGCUUCUAGUUCCUGCUCGUCCGCAUUUUUUCUGCCUCUGGCUGAGAAAGCUGAAAUUUUGUGUUGCAAUUACAGUUUUUCCCCUUUUGGCGUGUCCUUGUGGCUCUGUUGACAGCCCACAGCCGCCCCGACCUUACACGAUGGUUUCAGUUCACAUGGUAACACAAAGAGCAAUUCCGACAUCUGCCCCAGUCCUCUGCCACGGAUGGGAGUCGCUACUCAAAGCACCCAUGACCGGACCCACCAGUCAGCUUCCGUUCUUCCGUCAACAGCUACUAAGACCAGACAACCAAGGUUUUGGACCACCUCAAUUAUUUGUGUACAUAUACAAAAGAUGCUCCUUUCCUCUCCACAUUCAUUUAAGAAAUGUUUAAAAGAUUAUAGUCCUAGGGGCGCCUGGGUGGCUCAGUCGGUUAAGCGGCCAGCUUCGGCUCAGGUCAUGAUCUCGCAGUCCAUGAGUUCGAGCCCCGCGUCGGGCUCUGUGCUGACAGCUCAGAGCCUGGAGCCUGUUUCAGAUUCUGUGUCUCCCUCUCUCUGACCCUCCCCCGUUCAUGCUCUGUCUCUCUCUGUCUCAAAAAUAAAUAAACGUUAAAAAAAAAAAAAAAAAAAGAUUAUAGUCCUAGCUUUAGAACUCCUAAAAACUAGGAUCAGGUAGGUAGUGCCUCAGGAAUUAUAAAAACCUCAUUAGUUUCCUGGGGAAUAGAACCUUUGAAGCAAUAUAAAAAUCAUUCCUUCAGGCAAAAAUCACUUCAUGGGGCCCUUGGUUUCAUUGAUUGCCAUCCACGCCGUGGCAGAAAAUGCUAAAGGGGAGCCUGGGUGGUUCAGUUGGUUGAGCAUCCAACUUCAGCUCAGGUCGUGAUCUCACAGUUCAUGAGUUCAAGCCCCACAUGAAGCUUGCUGCUGUCAGCACAGAGCCCGCUUCUGAUCUUCUGUCUCCCUCUCUCUGCCCCUCCCCCGCUCAUGCUCGCUCGCUCGCUCUCUCUCUCUCUCUCUCCCAAAAAUAAACAUGUUUUAAAAAAGGAAAGAAACUGCUAAAGAUGCUAAAAUGCUACAGCUAUUUCUUGUGGCUAGACUCCUCCGUUUCCAUUUCAGAUGGCAAUAUGAACUCAAAGGUUUACUGGUAUAUGACAAUGAUUCAUACCUGGCCAAAUGACAUUUCAGAUUAAUCUUCUUAAAUUGCAUUUCAAAGUCAGAUGCAGGAAAAGCCAAAUGCUCUUAAACUGGCAUUCUAAAAAUAAUAGUUCCAUUGACGUCAACUCUAUUGACGUUGCUUAAAAGAUACAUAACUGAG